GAACGCGUAGCUCAGUUGGUAGAGCAUUGGGCUAGUAUUCCAAAGGUCGUAGGUUCGAUCCCCACCGUGGCCA
This 73-nucleotide transfer RNA is filed under the name Paramuricea clavata. It matches the Rfam family "tRNA". Rfam says of the family: Transfer RNA (tRNA) molecules are approximately 80 nucleotides in length. Lineage: Eukaryota; Metazoa; Cnidaria; Anthozoa; Malacalcyonacea; Plexauridae. The record is from Rfam by way of RNAcentral.